UACGUAGGUCCCGAGCGUUGUCCGGAUUUAUUGGGCGUAAAGCGAGCGCAGGUGGUUUAUUAAGUCUGGUGUAAAAGGCAGUGGCUCAACCAUUGUAUGCAUUGGAAACUGGUAGACUUGAGUGCAGGAGAGGAGAGUGGAAUUCCAUGUGUAGCGGUGAAAUGCGUAGAUAUAUGGAGGAACACCAAUGGCGAAGGCAGGUCUCUGGGCCGUUACUGACGCUGAGGAGCGAAAGCGUGGGGAGCGAACGGG
This 252-nucleotide ribosomal RNA is filed under the name uncultured bacterium. RNAcentral's name for it is "partial 16S ribosomal RNA". It matches the Rfam family "Bacterial small subunit ribosomal RNA", at positions 524 to 776 of the family's 1533-position model. The record is from RNAcentral.